AGAGCCGGCCGGACAGUCGCGCCAGGCCCCGCGCCUGGGGAGGAAAGUCCGGGCUCCACAGGGCAGAGUGCCAGGUAACGCCUGGGCGGCGUGAGCCGACGGAAAGUGCCACAGAAAAGAUACCGCCGAUGGCGCCGGCGGCAAUGCCGGCGACAGGUAAGGGUGAAAUGGUGCGGUAAGAGCGCACCGCGCGGGUGGCAACACCUCGCGGCAGGGUAAACCCCACUCGGAGCAAGACCAAAUAGAGGAGCCAUGAUGUCGCCCGCAUCGCUCCCGGGUAGGUCGCAUGAGGUGCGCGGUGACGUGCAUCCCAGAUGAAUGACUGUCCCCGACAGAACCCGGCUUACAGGCCGGCUCUUUUU
RNAcentral lists this RNase P RNA (362 nucleotides) under Gammaproteobacteria bacterium. RNAcentral describes it as "RNase P RNA component class A". It matches the Rfam family "Bacterial RNase P class A". Rfam says of the family: Ribonuclease P (RNase P) is a ubiquitous endoribonuclease, found in archaea, bacteria and eukarya as well as chloroplasts and mitochondria. Its best characterised activity is the generation of mature 5'-ends of tRNAs by cleaving the 5'-leader elements of precursor-tRNAs. Lineage: Bacteria; Pseudomonadati; Pseudomonadota; Gammaproteobacteria. The record is from RNAcentral.